CCAGCCGCGGUAAUUCCAGCUCCAAUAGCGUAUAUUAAAGUUGCUGCAGUUAAAAAGCUCGUAGUUGAAUUUCGGGACCAUCAUGUCGGUCGUGCCUCGGUACGUACUGGCAUUGUUGGUUUCUCCCUUCUGACGAACCAUGAUGUCAUUUAUUUGGUGUUGUGGGGAAUCAGGACUGUUACUUUGAAAAAAUUAGAGUGUUUAAAGCAGGCUCACGCUUGAAUACAUUAGCAUGGAAUAAUGAAAUAGGACGUUUGAUUCUAUUUUGUUGGUUUCUAGGAUCGACGUAAUGAUUAAUAGGGAUAGUUGGGGGCAUUAGUAUUCAAUUGUCAGAGGUGAAAUUCUUGGAUUUAUUGAAGACUAACUACUGCGAAAGCAUUUGCCAAGGAUGUUUUCAUUAAUCAAGAACGAAAGUUAGGGGAUCGAAGACGAUCAGAUACCGUCGUAGUCUUAACCAUAAACUAUGCCGACUAGGGAUCGGAUGAUGUUAAUUUUUUAAUGACUCAUUCGGCGCCUUACG
This 520-nucleotide unclassified non-coding RNA is filed under the name uncultured Glomeromycotina. Its description in RNAcentral is "SSU rRNA". It matches the Rfam family "Eukaryotic small subunit ribosomal RNA", at positions 567 to 1092 of the family's 1831-position model. The record is from RNAcentral. Lineage: Eukaryota; Fungi; Glomeromycota.